This 481-nucleotide ribosomal RNA is filed under the name uncultured bacterium. RNAcentral describes it as "partial 16S ribosomal RNA". It matches the Rfam family "Bacterial small subunit ribosomal RNA", at positions 27 to 507 of the family's 1533-position model. The record is from RNAcentral.
GGACGAACGCUGGCGGCGUGCUUAACACAUGCAAGUCGAACGAUGAAGAAAAGAAUCGAAGCUUCGGCAGAAAUUCAUUUCGGAUUAGUGGCAGACGGGUGAGUAACGCGUGAGCAACCUACCUCUUACAAAGGGAUAGCCUCGGGAAACCGGGAUUAAUACCAUAUAACAUUGCGACGAAGCAUUUCGAUGCAAUCAAAGCUACGGCGGUAAGAGAUGGGCUCGCGCCCCAUUAACCGGAUGGUGAGGUAACGGCUCACCAUAGUGACGAUGGGUAACCGGCCUGAGAGGGUGAACGGUCACACUGGAACUGAGACACGGUCCAGACUCCUACGGGAGGCAGCAGUGGGGAAUAUUGCACAAUGGAGGGAACUCUGAUGCAGCGACGCCGCGUGAGUGAUGAAGGAAUUCGUUUCGUAAAACUCUGUUCUAUGGGAAGAAAAGGACUGUACCAUAGGAGAAAGCUCCGGCUAAAUACGUG